AACGAACGCUGGCGGCAUGCCUAACACAUGCAAGUCGAACGAGGCCCUUCGGGGUUUAGUGGCGCACGGGUGCGUAACGCGUGGGAAUUCGCCCUUUGGUUUGGAAUAACAGCUGGAAACGGCUGCUAAUACCGGAUGAUGACGAAAGUCCAAAGAUUUAUUGCCAGAGGAUGAGCCCGCGUUGGAUUAGGUAGUUGGUGGGGUAAAGGCCUACCAAGCCGACGAUCCAUAGCUGGUUUGAGAGGAUGAUCAGCCACACUGGGACUGAGACACGGCCCAGACUCCUACGGGAGGCAGCAGUGGGGAAUAUUGGACAAUGGGCGCAAGCCUGAUCCAGCAAUGCCGCGUGAGUGAUGAAGGCCCUAGGGUUGUAAAGCUUUUUUACCCGGGAAGAUAAUGACUGUACAGGGGGAAUAAGCCCCGGCUAACUCCGUG
This 435-nucleotide ribosomal RNA is filed under the name uncultured bacterium. RNAcentral's name for it is "bacterial SSU rRNA". It matches the Rfam family "Bacterial small subunit ribosomal RNA", at positions 29 to 507 of the family's 1533-position model. The record is from RNAcentral.